GGGGAUUUACAGAGGUUUUUGACCAUGUAUGUGGCCUUCGUUGAAAACCAGAAUUGGAAUGAGAUGUAUUUAAAGAAACCCAUCACCAGAAUAUUUAUUAUUACAUUUUGAUCUAAUUUGGAACAUUUUCCCAUAGGCUUGAUAGAAGAAAAAGAGCCAGAAGUCUUUGGAGAACACGAUGGGUAAAGGAAAUAGAUGACCCUCCAUUCAUUCCGUCGGGAAGCGAGAAGGCGUUUGAACACUGGGCCCACAUGCCUGGGUUCAUAUCCCAGCUCGGUCAGGGACGGGGCCUUGGGACUUUCGUUUUUAUCCGGCCUCCUUUGAGAUUCUUCCACCUCCUGAGUUUGAGAGCCUCUGGGUUGUUCAGGCUGCCUGGUAUCUGUUUAUUCUGCACUGCCCACAAAGCCACGCUGUCCUGCAACGGCCUGUGGGAGAGCGAGAGUCUUCUCAGGGCUUCCCGAGGAAGAGAAUGAUUUUUAGGUAAACCAACCAAGCCCAAAACCUGAUAACACCGAACGUCACAUGCUGACAGCUCUUUGGAAAACCUUUCCCCUUGGAAUCUACACUUUGACUGAGCUUUCAAACCAGAAGUUCAUCUUACCCAGGAAAGAGUGAGUAAUUUGCUUUCUUUCUCUUAUUUUAUUUUAUUUUUUAAAUUUUAUUUUACCUUACCUUAACUUAUCUUAUCCUAUCCUAUUCUGUUUUUCUUUUUAUGGCUGCACCUGGCAUCAUAUGGUAGUUCCCAGGCUAGGGGUCAAAUCAGAGCUGCAGCCACAGCAACGCCACAUCUGAGCCUCAUCUGUGACCCGCGCUGCAGCUUGUGGCAAUGCCAGAUCCUUAACCCGCUGAGUGAGGCCGGGGAUUGACGCCCCAUCCUCACAGACACUAUGUCAGGUUCUUAACCUACUGAGCCACAAUGCGUAUAAUUUGCUUUCUUAAUGUUAUAAUGCUGACAUGGAUGAUCCUGGAUUUGUCAGGAAUAAGAUAAUUGAGCAAAAGAUGAACGAACCAGGGGAUUUAAAAAAGUAACCUAAAAAACCAAAACGCAGCAAAAAAAAAAAGAAGCCACUGCUAGCAGGUAGUUGGGUGCAUCUGAAAACUGCUCUUGCUUCUUUCUGGGAGGGUUGAAAUGGUACCCAAAUCCAUCAGAGAAGAAUGCCAGCGGCCCACACAGAUAGAUCUAGAACAUGUGGUUUCCAGUCCUGCAGGUUCUCUAGCUGGACGUCACUCUGGAGUCAGAGAAGGGCAGAAUCGGAAGGAUCCGGUGAGAGACGGGGUUCCAGAGACUUCUUGAUAAGGAAGCUGAGACUCCCACCAGCGAGGGGCUGGCUAGCUUUAGAACCAGCACCAGGGCCCAUUUCCUUGUGGUCUUGAUGUGCCACCUUGGUGUGAACAUCACUGGUGGCCAUCCCAGCCUCCGUGUGGACCCACGACUCUCCACCUGUCUGUGCCGAGAGGUGCCAGGAUUUCUGA
RNAcentral lists this long non-coding RNA (1473 nucleotides) under Sus scrofa (pig). Its description in RNAcentral is "lncRNA (ENSSSCG00070025216.1)". Lineage: Eukaryota; Metazoa; Chordata; Mammalia; Artiodactyla; Suidae. The record is from RNAcentral.